AAGCCCCAGUAAACGGCGGCCGUAACUAUAACGGUCCUAAGGUAGCGAAAUUCCUUGUCAGGUAAGUUCUGACCCGCACGAAAGGUGUAACGAUUUGAGCACUGUCUCGACAACACGCCCGGUGAAAUUGAAGAACCAGUGAAGAUACUGGUUACCCGCAACAGGACGGAAAGACCCCAUGGAGCUUUACUGCAGCUUAAUAUUGGGAUUCGGUAUUGUAUGUACAGGAUAGGAGGGAGACUAAGAAGCUAGCACGCCAGUGUUGGUGGAGUCGAUGGUGGGAUACCUCUCUUAUAAUACUGAAUUUCUAACCUACUUCCGUGAUCCGGAAGAGGGACAUUGUUAGGCGGGCAGUUUGACUGGGGCGGUCGCCUCCGAAAGAGUAACGGAGGCGCUCAAAGGUCUUCUCAGAAUGAUUGGAAACCAUUCAAAGAGUGUAAAGGCAAAAGAAGGCUUGACUGCGAGAGUGACAACUCGAGCAGGUACGAAAGUAGGACUUAGUGAUCCGGUGGUAAUAAGUGGGAAUGCCAUCGCUCAACGGAUAAAAGCUACC
This 553-nucleotide non-coding RNA is filed under the name Eubacterium sp. CAG:274. RNAcentral's name for it is "Bacterial large subunit ribosomal RNA". It matches the Rfam family "Bacterial large subunit ribosomal RNA", at positions 1915 to 2467 of the family's 2925-position model. The record is from Rfam by way of RNAcentral. Lineage: Bacteria; Bacillati; Bacillota; Clostridia; Eubacteriales; Eubacteriaceae.